ACCUGGCUGGGAGAGGAACAGGACUCUCCACUCUUGUUGGCUCUACAGCUCCCAGCGGACCUGUGGACGGCCAGGCAGCAGGGGGUGCGGAACAGUGCCUUCACACACUGCUGUCAGCGCUGUGGUUUCACGUCUCAUCACUGCCUUAUCCACUCUACAGUUUGGAUUUUACCCACAGGAAAAGUUUUGGUGACAUCAUUCUGCCAAGUGAGUGUAGAAGAUGGUUUGAAACCUGUCUUGCUAAAAUGGAGACUCUGACUCAGCAGGUCUGGGGAUGGGCCCCCCGGUGAUGUCAUUGCCGCUGGUCACUAGACUACCCUUUGAGGGUCCAAGAGCACUGUCUGAUGGGGUCUCCCGUAGAAGUUAUGGAAAUCUCAGGGAAGAGAGGCAUUCCUCCCGAGGCCUCAGUCACACAGCUGAGUUCUGGCCACUGGAAUGUGAGCAGAAGUGACCUGAGCCACUUCCACCAAGCGGAGACUGCCCCAUGCAUGGCUCCCUGCGCUUCUGUCCCCAUCCCCUGGGUAGACAGGAGCACUCUGAGGACCAGGAGGAGGUUGGAGCCUGGAGAUGGAAGGACCCUCAGUCCCUCAGUGUCUGGAUGGCUGCUUGGGGUCAACGUGCACAGGACUGUGACUUAGGGGGGAAAACAAAAAUACAAAUGCAGGUUUAUUGUGCU
RNAcentral lists this long non-coding RNA (676 nucleotides) under Equus caballus (horse). RNAcentral's name for it is "lncRNA (ENSECAG00000044250.1)". Lineage: Eukaryota; Metazoa; Chordata; Mammalia; Perissodactyla; Equidae. The record is from RNAcentral.